ACCCUGGGAUCAUGACCUGAGCGGAAGGCAGAGGCUUUAACCCACUGAGCCACCCAGGCGCCCCUGGAGGUUUUUCUAAGUGUCAUUCCAAAAGCGGAAUAUUGAAUGAUAAUUGGAAGUAAUGAACAGGAUGAAAAAACCUCUUUAAAGAUUACUGUGGUGAUUUGAUAAUAGCAUGUAGUAAUUGGUAAAUUAAUAGUAUUUGGGUGAUAACCAUCGGAUUUUGGCUUUAGAUAGCUGGCAAAUCUCUCAACACUGGUGCAUUUGAUAAAACAACUGAAUCUUGACCAUUUGAACUUAGUUCUCUGAAUAGGCUUUCUUCUUAUGAAGGGGAAUUCAUCAGGCAGCUUGGAACUGUGGCAAAAAGCAGAGGACAACCUGGUAGGCAAACAAUGCUGAGUGAAAUGCGUACUGUAGCAGCCACAGGCAGGAAAUGACUACAGUUGAAAAGACUGGCAUUUUCUAAGGUAGGUAAAAUGGUCUUUUAAUGAUACUACCAGGAGCACUGAUAUGGCCUGUAAAUAAGAAACUAAUAACAGGUUCUGUCCACAGCUCAAAAAAAAAUAUUAUUAGGAGCCAAAAUAUUAAAAAAGAAAAGCAACAUAGAUGUUAGACAGAUGGCGUCCUUACAGAGACGUCAUGAUUGUAACAGAGUCAAAUGCUCGAUCGUCUAGCUGUUGUGUUUGCGUCUGGUUUCACAAAUCUCCACCUCAUUCAGGAACAGAAAAUACAGGACAGCUCCAGGCACCGGCUAAUGCGGGAUCAAGGGCUUGGGGGCACCCCUCAGCUUAGGGGCCAGCUCCCUCCCCGAACUUGCAGACCCACUGGCCAGGCUGGGCCUCAUCAGCACCUUCUCCUUGGCUCCACUCCUUAAGGGGAAACCGAGGCAGGGGCUACGAGCUGUUGUCCACAGGCCUCCUGGGUCUAUCAGGAUCCAGAGUUCUCAUCUGGGGCCACUGACUUCCAGGGGGCCGGUGUCCCCGCCUGCCACUGACGAUAACCUCACUGGUCCUUGCAAGGAUUCCGGAAGACCCCAAGGGGGACGCCCUGACCCUGCAGGAGCAGUUUGAAGGUCACUCCAACUACAUCCCAGAUGCAGGGGGCUCAGCUCACGGCCCAGCGGCUGGGGAGGGGGCGUGGAAGCCCUCCGGAGCGGCGAGAGCCAGGAAGGCUGCAGGGUACCACAAGCUCGGCUUUCGGGAGAACCGACCUGGUUUUUAAGAGCAAACAUGCAACGGCACAAAAGCACACCCAAUUCCAGCAGCUCACGGAGGGAGGGGCUCCUUCUUCUCCGACACCCCUGCAGGGGUGAGUGGAGCGCUUCUCGGGAACGUGCGCUCUUCCACGCCCACCCUGCGACUCACACGCCUGGCCCUUCCGUCACGCAGGGCCCUGGUCCCCAAACCAGGAGGAAACACAGUGCCGUCGGCUUUACGUGAACAGUAUUCGUGGAAGGGAAAACCUGCACAUUGUAACUUCAAAACGGAGGCAAUUUUAUGAUUCCCCAGAUUGAUAAAAGCUUUAAGUCACUCCACAAAUGAACAGAGAAAAUACUGCCUUUUUGCUCAUUUGAAAGCAAGAUCUCCGUGCUGGCCGCUAAGUCCCUCUGGACAAGGGGCGCAGGCGUGCGGCCGCACGGCGGGCACAGCGAGACGGUCAGAGGGACACUCCGACUCCACCCGCAGGCACAGCUGGGCGACCACGUCCUCCAAGUCCCAGGGAGCUGACUGUCUUUCACCUUGUUCAGCAGGGAGCUCGUGGCCACGCAUCCCCUGCAGCGUGGGGCCAGCUCUGCCCCGUCCCCGCAGCGGACUCCCUGCCCCUCC
Mustela erminea (ermine) is the source of this 1826-nucleotide long non-coding RNA. RefSeq lists it as uncharacterized. Lineage: Eukaryota; Metazoa; Chordata; Mammalia; Carnivora; Mustelidae. The record is from RefSeq and is a predicted model, not a curated record. The transcript has 3 exons.